AGACAAUAAUAGCCGCUCCUUCUCCCUCUACACCAAAAGCCACCAUCACCGUCUGGCCCUUUUUCCUUUCUGUCAUUGCUUCGCCUCUCUAAAACCUCCGACGAACCGACGCCACAACACUCAACUGCCGCCGCCGCCUCAUCCUCUUCUCCAUCUCAAGCCGCGAUCAACAACAGUACCGUAACGCCGCUCUACUGUCGACUGGUGUCCAGCUAAACCAGGUCACCGACGAGCCACUAAUCGUCGCCUUCCUCCCCAUCGUUGCCUCCCAAUAGUUAAACCAGCGGCGCAACCACCAACGGCCAUCUAACAGCUGCCAUGCAGCUGUUCACCAACCCUCGUCGCCGUAGCGAUAGCCAAACCAAUGCCGCCUCAUUUGUCGGAAAAUGAUGGGUUCUUGGGAAUCCAUCCCAGGUUUGAUUUGUGUUUAAUUUGUAUGUGUAAUUUUAGUUAUCUUCUACCCCUUCUUUUCUUUUUCUUUGGAUAUAUUCUAUUGUGUAAAAUUGACGGAGGUUGAUUUGAGGUUUUUGGUUUAAUUUCUGGUGAUUUGUGCUUGUUAACUUGCCUAGCCUAUCAUAUAAUAAACUUCUCAAUUUUGUGAACUUUGAUUAAUCCUAAUUUGUCACUAAGACGUUGAUUUUGGUCAAUCAUAAAUUUCCUAGUCUUUUACACACGAAUGAGAACCUGUUGAAUAUUGCUUUAUGGAGCUCUAUUGUGGAAUUCCUAUUUUGACGCUUAAUUAUGGGCUAGUAUGUCGUGGGAUCUCUAUGAUUAAUGUGGUGGUCAUGAUUUGCCUCAAUCCUUUGACAUAAUCAAGUCUUUUCUUUCUAAAUUAGAUUUUUAACAAUCUCGUGUGUAAUUACGGUAGUGAUUUGAGAUUUUUUUUGCUCUGUGUAAGUUAUUUGGUGGUGUGACAGCUUAUUUUUAUGCAUGCAGUUUCUAUUUUGCAUGCAGGUUUUGUGUUCUGGAUAUGAUGUAACUUGAUUCUUCAAUCUAUGUGUUAUUAUCUAAUACAUUUGCUGGUUUGCAAAACUGAGAUGGUAUUGGAACUAUGAGGGAAAUGAUGCAUAGCAGGGAUGUCAAGAAAGUUUCUGAAUCCAGUUGGUUUUAAAUAUCAAGAAGGCUUUAAAUGUCAAGAAAAAGAAUCCUAUGGUGUAAUUUGGAUUCUUCUAUUUUGUAUGUAGUUUUUGUGUGUGCAAUUUAUUUGAUUAUAAUGUUUUGUCUCGCAAGAAUUGCAUGAGCUGUAUUUGGCCUUUUUGUUUUUGAAUUUUUUCUAUUGGUACUAUUCUCGGCUCGUGAUUGUAAAUAAAUCAUCUCAAAUUUAAGUGACACACUGUCCCGUAAAUAAUUUUUACACCAUUAGAUUAUUUUAUUUGUACUAAAAAUAGAGAAGAAAUAUUAUUUCACUUGCUUUAAUUUACUUUAGAUCCUUAAUAACAUAAAAAUUGCAGAUUUUGUAUGCAGUUUCCUACAUUCUGGUUAUGUAUGCAGAUUUUGUCCAUUCAACUGCAAUUUGGUGUUUGGAUAUUGUACAUUCUGGUACAUUUUGAUUGUGUAUGCAGUUUCUAUGCAAUUUGAUCAUGGCAACUAAGAUCAAAAUUUGUGUAUGUAGUUUCUAUUUUGUGAAUUACUGGGUGUCUGGAUAUACAUUCAGGUUGUGUAUGCAGUUUCUAUACAAAUUAGAGUGAAUAAUGAUAUUUCUUUAAAAUGUAUUUCAGAAGAAUUCUUAUUGGAAUGCUUCCGUUAGUGAAACUGUGGUGAAGCAAUAAUGGUUAGAGAAGGCUGCACUAUGCUACAGAAAUUUCAUUUCUAAUUUAAAGAAACACAGAGUUACAGUUUAACCGGAUUAAGCGUGUUGAUGGUAUUAGGGCACAAGAAGGGGCCGUGCUUGAUCCUCCUACUAAUGAUGAUAACGUUGAUUCAUAGCUUCAUAGUAUUCGUAAUGAUGAUAACGUUGAUUCAUAGCUUCAUAGUAUUCGUAGUUCUUCAUCGUUGCAUUAUUUUUGAUAGACUAUUAUGUGUGGAAGUACAAAAUAGUUGUGUAGUAACAAAUACUAAUUUUGAUGAAUGUGGGUUUGACAUUAGUUUAUUUUGAUAAAAUAUUUGAACUUGUGGAUGUUUGGACAUAGUUAUUGUACAUUUUGCUAUCUAUAUGAAUGUUGGUUAUUUUAAUUAUUCAAUAAUUUAUGCUUUUCAAUAAUUUACUUACAUAAUUAUUAGAGACAAAAUAAUAGUGACUAACUUCUGUCGUUGCUAGUGAAAAACUUUAGAGAUGGAUAAAUUUGGUCGAUAAAGACAGCAGCUUAGUCGACCAAACUAUGUUGCAACGGAUCAGCGAUAAAUUAUUCCGUCGUAAAUUUAGCCACGAUAAAAGUCAAUAUUGG
RNAcentral lists this long non-coding RNA (2384 nucleotides) under Capsicum annuum. RNAcentral's name for it is "long non-coding RNA (CANN_LNC009628)". The record is from RNAcentral. Lineage: Eukaryota; Viridiplantae; Streptophyta; Magnoliopsida; Solanales; Solanaceae.